Small nucleolar RNA from Mastomys coucha (southern multimammate mouse), 138 nucleotides. RefSeq annotates it as small nucleolar RNA SNORA81. NCBI's taxonomy places the organism in Eukaryota, Metazoa, Chordata, Mammalia, Rodentia, Muridae. The record is from RefSeq and is a predicted model, not a curated record. The transcript has a single exon.
UGCUUUAAAAAUGAGAGCUGAUAAAAGAACAAGUCCACACAAGAAGAGCAGUAACUAACUGCACUGGGUUGCAAAGACUGAGGUGGACCUCUUUCUUAAUGUCCAGUGUCCUCUGUUAUAAGAUUCGGUGCAAUAAGU